AGGACGAACGCUUGCGACGUGCCUAAGAAAUGCAAGUCGAACGGGGUAGCAAUACCUAGUGGCGAACGGUCGCGUAACACGUGGGCAACCUGCCCUGAAGUGGGGGACAACAGCUCGAAAGGGCUGCUAAUACCGCAUGUGAAGGGGGAUGGCAUCAUCCCUUGUUCAAAGCCUUGUGCGCUUCAGGAUGGGCCCGCGGCCUAUCAGCUAGUUGGUGGGGUAACGGCCUACCAAGGCUUCGACGGGUAGCUGGUCUGAGAGGACGAUCAGCCGGAUUGGGACUGAGAUACGGCCCAGACUCCUACGGGGGGCAGCAAUUAGGAAUCUUGCACAAUGGGGGAAACCCUGAUGCAGCGACGUCGCGUGGAGGAUGAAAUCUUUCGGGAUGUAAACUCCUUUCUCAGGAAGAAAAAUGACGGUACCUGAGGAAUAAGCCCGGCUAACUACGUGCCAGCAGCCGC
RNAcentral lists this ribosomal RNA (461 nucleotides) under uncultured bacterium. RNAcentral describes it as "SSU rRNA". It matches the Rfam family "Bacterial small subunit ribosomal RNA", at positions 26 to 518 of the family's 1533-position model. The record is from RNAcentral.